AGCCUUUAGCCAACCAAGUAUUAAAGGUGACGCCUGCCCAGUGAGUAUACCUUUAACGGCCGCGCUCAGACCGUGCAAAGGUAGCAAAAUCAUUUGUCCUCCAAAUAGGGACCAGCAUGAAUGGCAACAUGAGAAGGAGCCUGUCUCUUUAGGCUAGUCAGUGAAACUGAUCUACCUGUACAAAAGCAGGCAUAAAUAAACAAGACAAAAAGACCCUGUGAAACUUUAAAUACUCUUCAACCACAUGAUAGGCUAUUUUCGGUUGGGGCAACCAAUGAGGGGCAAACCUCAUAACAUCAUAAGGCCAACAAGCCAAAUGAACAUUAAUGAUCCAGUACUACUGAUCAAAGAACCAAGCUACUCCAGGGAUAACAGCGCCACAUUCUUUUAGAGUCCGUAUCAAUAAGAAUACCUACGACCUCGAUGUUGGAUCAGGACCCCCCAAUGGCGCAAAAGCUAUUAAAGGUUCGUUUGUUCAACGAUUAAAGUCCUACG
Molecule: ribosomal RNA, 495 nt
Filed under: Draco taeniopterus
Lineage: Eukaryota; Metazoa; Chordata; Lepidosauria; Squamata; Agamidae
Description: partial 16S ribosomal RNA
Rfam family: Bacterial large subunit ribosomal RNA
Source: RNAcentral